AUUGAACGCUGGCGGCAUGCUUUACACAUGCAAGUCGAACGGCAGCGGGGUAGUGCUUGCACUACUGCCGGCGAGUGGCGAACGGGUGAGUAAUAUAUCGGAACGUACCGAGUAAUGGGGGAUAACCAAUCGAAAGAUUGGCUAAUACCGCAUACGUCCUGAGGGAGAAAGCGGGGGAUCGCAAGACCUCGCGUUAUUCGAGCGGCCGAUAACUGAUUAGCUAGUUGGUGGGGUAAAGGCCUACCAAGGCGACGAUCAGUAGCGGGUCUGAGAGGACGAUCCGCCACACUGGGACUGAGACACGGCCCAGACUCCUACGGGAGGCAGCAGUGGGGAAUUUUGGACAAUGGGGCAACCCUGAUCCAGCCAUGCCGCGUGUAUGAAGAAGGCCUUCGGGUUGUAAAGUACUUUUGUUAGGGAAGAAAAGGGAAGUACUAAUACCACUUUUUGCUGACGGUACCUAAAGAAUAAGCACCGGCUAACUACGUG
Molecule: ribosomal RNA, 489 nt
Filed under: uncultured bacterium
Lineage: Bacteria
Description: partial 16S ribosomal RNA
Rfam family: Bacterial small subunit ribosomal RNA
Source: RNAcentral